RNAcentral lists this ribosomal RNA (108 nucleotides) under Olea europaea subsp. europaea. Its description in RNAcentral is "PK-G12rRNA". Lineage: Eukaryota; Viridiplantae; Streptophyta; Magnoliopsida; Lamiales; Oleaceae. The record is from RNAcentral.
GUCAAAGGUUUGUGUAAGUCGAAUUGAAAUUGCUCAUCGAGUAUAAAGGUAAAAAGGAGCUUAACUGUAAAACUCACGUAAUAAGCAAUGAGAAAAGUUGGCCAUAGC